This 503-nucleotide ribosomal RNA is filed under the name uncultured bacterium. Its description in RNAcentral is "partial 16S ribosomal RNA". It matches the Rfam family "Bacterial small subunit ribosomal RNA", at positions 30 to 523 of the family's 1533-position model. The record is from RNAcentral.
AUUGAACGCUGGCGGCAGGCUUAACACAUGCAAGUCGAGCGGAGUGAUGGUGCUUGCACUAUCACUUAGCGGCGGACGGGUGAGUAAUGCUUAGGAAUCUGCCUAUCAGUGGGGGACAACAUCUCGAAAGGGAUGCUAAUACCGCAUACGUCCUACGGGAGAAAGCAGGGGAUCACUUGUGACCUUGCGCUAAUAGAUGAGCCUAAGUCGGAUUAGCUAGUUGGUGGGGUAAAGGCCUACCAAGGCGACGAUCUGUAGCGGGUCUGAGAGGAUGAUCCGCCACACUGGGACUGAGACACGGCCUAGACUCCUACGGGAGGCAGCAGUGGGGAAUAUUGGACAAUGGGGGGAACCCUGAUCCAGCCAUGCCGCGUGUGUGAAGAAGGCCUUAUGGUUGUAAAGCACUUUAAGCGAGGAGGAGGCUCUUUUGGUUAAUACCCAAGAUGAGUGGACGUUACUCGCAGAAUAAGCACCGGCUAACUCUGUGCCAGCCGCCGCAGUAA